GACAGAGGGUGCAAACGUUGCUCGGAAUCACUGGGCGUAAAGGGCGUGUAGGCGGGGAUGUAAGUCGGGCGUGAAAUCCCUAGGCUCAACCUAGGAACUGCACUCGAAACUGCGUUUCUUGAGUGCCGGAGAGGAAAGCGGAAUUCCUGGUGUAGAGGUGAAAUUCGUAGAUAUUCGGAGGAACACCAGUGGCGAAGGCGGCUCACUGGUCCAUUACUGACGCUGAGGUGCGAAAGCGUGGGGAGCAAACAGG
This 253-nucleotide ribosomal RNA is filed under the name uncultured bacterium. Its description in RNAcentral is "partial 16S ribosomal RNA". It matches the Rfam family "Bacterial small subunit ribosomal RNA", at positions 524 to 776 of the family's 1533-position model. The record is from RNAcentral.